Molecule: signal recognition particle RNA, 95 nt
Filed under: Mariniblastus sp.
Lineage: Bacteria; Pseudomonadati; Planctomycetota; Planctomycetia; Pirellulales; Pirellulaceae
Description: signal recognition particle sRNA small type
Rfam family: Bacterial small signal recognition particle RNA
About the family: The signal recognition particle (SRP) is a universally conserved ribonucleoprotein involved in the co-translational targeting of proteins to membranes.
Source: RNAcentral
UGAGUGGGCUCCGCGAGGAGGAGCCGUGAAUCUGGUCAGGCCUGAAAUAUGGAGCAGCCAUAAGCGGGGUACUUUUGUGCGGAGCCCUCUCGUUG